Mustela lutreola (European mink) is the source of this 2762-nucleotide long non-coding RNA. RefSeq lists it as uncharacterized. The record is from RefSeq and is a predicted model, not a curated record. The transcript has 3 exons. Lineage: Eukaryota; Metazoa; Chordata; Mammalia; Carnivora; Mustelidae.
CAUUCUCCAGUUCAAUUAAACUAGCAUUAUCACAGAGCUAACUCGGGCCACCGGCAGCACCAGUCACAACAGUUUCGAAAGUAGCUGGUGCUGCUGUUGCUAGCAGUGAGAUGUGACCUGAGAGCAGAUGGGAUGGCAUUUUACGAAGGUCAGCGGGGCAUCAGAGCUGCCAUCAAUAUGCUCCUGGCAAGAAUUACGGUGUCUUGAUUGCUGACCGAAAAAAGAGGUGAUGAAGCAUUCUGUCUUUUUAUAAUCAACUGAUCAGAUCAUGAGAUGUGUACGGAUUGAUGGUGACCUAAAACUCGUUCGGUGGGAAGCGGACGCUGAGAUGGGUAUCAGCAGUCAGCGUGAGCUCUCGCCAUCGACACCUGUACCGGACUGAAGGAGGCAGAUCUGACUGGCAGGAGCGAGACCCUGAAUGAUAGAGAACACAAGCAGGGGGAGCAGCAGGUAGAGGAAGAAAGAGAACCAGCCUCCCCACUGAGCUGAGAGCCCAAUGUAGCACUCUGAUCCCAGGACCCCAGGAUCAUGACCUGAGCUGAAAGCACACUCUUAACCUACUGAGCCACCCAGGCAUCCCACAUUUAGGUCUUUGGUCCAUUUUGAGGAAAAUACUUUGAUGCAAAUUCCUAAACAUAUCAGGUUUAUUUUGAAGCCUAACAAUAUGUUUAUUUGCUGAGACUAAAUCAGUGAACAAGGCUGGCUGCCUGGAUCCCCCAGCCUGACUUGGAGCCUGGAUUACCAGUGAAAUGACCCCUAAUAGGCUCCAGUACAGCAGCUCCACCCAGGUGCAGCACACAGCAGCUGGCAGCAUCCCUGGUAAGACUGGAGAAGGGAAUGGUGUCCUUGACAGUGGGGCAGUCUUUAGCCCAGCAAAGCCCAGCAAGUACGAGCUCCUACUGGGUUCCAGUAGGAUGGACUCCAGCAGGUGCUGUCCUCGGACUCUCCAUAAGGACUGACUGCCCUAAGCACUGGCCAGUUUUUAAGAAACAGGCUUCAGUUUCCAAAAGGCUGUGCCCUGAAGAGCAACUCCCCUCCAGGCUGUCCUGCUGUGGGCCGGCCUCACCUCACCUCACGAGAGGCUUCCCUUUUGCAUCCUGGUUUUGGUUAUCAAAAUAGAGGUCUGCCUUUGCAGAUACUAUUAUUGACCCUGAAAACUGCUUAUCUCAAAAUAACUUACAUCCGUUACUUUCCUAGGGCACCUCUAUGGGGAAUCCCAUGCAUAUUGGUCACAAAAGGCAUUGUGCAAUGUCUUCCAAGGUUUUCUCAUCUAUGAAGAGCUUUUGUAUCUUCGUGGUGUUGUAGUUUUCAUUUUAUCAAUAUUAGCUUGAUUUUUUUAAAAAUUGCAAUACUUGUGUGCCCAGUGACUGAACUUAAAUGUUCAGGACAUUUCGACCAUAUCUGGAGUGUUGGCAAGCCUAUGUCCACAGGUGCAUCCUGUCUUCUCACUGGUGGGAUUACAAAACAUGUAAGACGUUUGUGACUAGCAAGCCCCACUUUCAUUGUGUGUCCCUGUAUCCCGUGUUCUUCACUUAUGGGACUUCUCCUGGGCAGAUGUGCGUUCUGAGCACAGGAAGGCCAUGCCCCUACUGUUUUCCGAGCGGGAAGGCAAGUACACAAGGAUCAGAGAGAACACAAGAGCAGUUCAUGAAGAACUGGGGUCUGUUUUGUAUCAAUAAUUUUAACCUGAAAUGUAAUGUCUCUUUGUUAUUUAUUUUACUCACAUUUGACCUAUUUCUAGCCCUAUCUGGAAAUUAAAACCCAUAAUUUAUGUCACUUAUUAUAUACCAAUUCAAUCGGUAUGUUUUUAAAGAGGCAUAAUAUAAAACCAUUUCUGUAUCAGCAGAGCAAGUUGCAAUGGCACCACUCACGGCAUGUUGACAAAUCUCUUCUGUGGAAAUUUUCUUGAAAACCUUCAUUUUCACGAGUGCAGUUAUGACACGAUCCUUGUUUUAGUAUAUGUGCUGCCGAAGCGAGCACGACACGAUCCUUGUUUUGUUUAAAGGAAGAAAAAGCACUGUGGGGUGUGAAUGGAUUAUUCCUCGUUGUCAAGACUGUUUCAAAGUCCCCAUGGGGCCAGCCCAUCUCUGAGCUGCUGUGAAGGCUGCAGCCACUUCUGGAAGGAGCAGGGUUUUCUGUGAUGAGACAGAGGAGAAGGCCCGCCAUCGCCAGGGCUGCUUGGGCUGAAAAGGUGAAUUUUGAAUACGGUCAGAGGAAGCUUCUGGCACCAGCAUCACGCGCAUGUGCACGCACCAUCCAGCUUGGGGGGAUCCUUUUCUGGUAAAACUCCUGUGCGCCCAGUCCCUGGAGCUGGCGGGGCCGUCCCUCCCCCUUAGCCCAGGGUCCUGUGGUAUUGGAGAUGCCACCGCCGCUCCCUGCGCCAUUUCCUGGUGAUGGGAAAAACAAAACCCCAAAACCAAAACGGUUAUUUUUGAUUGUUCCUUAUCAGAAAUUUCUAAUGUUUUAGGAACUAAGAAAACUUUGUCUCCCCAUAAAGAGUUGUCAUGAUUCCCUGAAAGUCCGUUGGACCAGGAUUUAAACUCUCAAGUCACCACAAGAGUUCGGGCGCCUAGGUGGCUCAGUGGGUUAAGCUGCUGCCUUCGGCUCGGGUCGUGAUCUCAGGGUCCUGGGAUCGAGUCCCGCAUCGGGCUCUCUGCUCAGCAGGGAGCCUGCUUCCCCCCCUCUCUCUCUGGCUGCCUCUCCGUCUACUUGUGAUUUCUCUCUGUCAAAUUAAUAAAUAAAAACUUAAAAAAAAAAAAAAA